UUAAAAGCGAUGAGAAAGAAGAGUAAAUCGCCGCAUUCGUCAAGUGAGCCAGCGGUAGUGGGAAGCCGGCCGACCCUGGACGAUUGAAAAACACUUUCUCGCAAUGCCGCUGACCUAAAUGGUCCCGACCAGAGUAGGCUCAGUCGUCCCCGGUACGUUACCUCGCCGGUAGAACAUGUUCGUGUUCGAAAAGAGUGGUCUGAGUUUUCACUCGGACAACUUGGGUGGUACCGCGGAAUAAAGCCUUUCGUCCCUUAG
This 258-nucleotide non-coding RNA is filed under the name Limosilactobacillus pontis. Its description in RNAcentral is "Lactobacillus pontis T-box sequence". It matches the Rfam family "T-box leader". From Rfam's summary of the family: Uncharged tRNA acts as the effector for transcription antitermination of genes in the T-box leader family. Lineage: Bacteria; Bacillati; Bacillota; Bacilli; Lactobacillales; Lactobacillaceae. The record is from RNAcentral.